UACGGGGGGGGCAAGCGUUGUUCGGAAUUACUGGGCGUAAAGGGCGCGUAGGCGGUGCUCUAAGUUAGAUGUGAAAACUCUGGGCUCAACCCAGAGCCUGCAUCUAAAACUGGAGUGCUAGAGUUCUGGAGGGGGUAGCGGAAUUCCUGGUGUAGCGGUGAAAUGCGUAGAUAUCAGGAGGAACACCGGUGGCGAAGGCGGCUCUCUGGGCCUGACCUGACGCUGAGGAGCGAAAGCGUGGGGAGCGAACAGG
This 253-nucleotide ribosomal RNA is filed under the name uncultured bacterium. RNAcentral's name for it is "partial 16S ribosomal RNA". It matches the Rfam family "Bacterial small subunit ribosomal RNA", at positions 524 to 776 of the family's 1533-position model. The record is from RNAcentral.